Molecule: ribosomal RNA, 253 nt
Filed under: uncultured bacterium
Lineage: Bacteria
Description: partial 16S ribosomal RNA
Rfam family: Bacterial small subunit ribosomal RNA
Source: RNAcentral
GACAGAGGUGCCGAGCGUUAGGCGGAAUCACUGGGCUUAAAGCGUGUGUAGGCGGACGGGUAAGUACCUUGUGAAAUCCCACGGCUCAACCGUGGAACUGCCGGGUAUACUGCCUGUCUUGAGUCAUCUAGGGGCGAGCGGAACAAAUGGUGGAGCGGUGAAAUGCGUAGAGAUCGGAAAGAACACCAACGGCGAAAGCACUCUGCUGGGCCGACACUGACACUGAGAGACGAAAGCUAGGGGAGCGAAUGGG